RNAcentral lists this unclassified non-coding RNA (264 nucleotides) under Robillarda sessilis. Its description in RNAcentral is "partial internal transcribed spacer region". The stretch from base 1 to 46 matches the Rfam family "Eukaryotic small subunit ribosomal RNA", at positions 1786 to 1831 of the family's 1831-position model. RNAcentral also lists the same sequence under 1 other name. The record is from RNAcentral. Lineage: Eukaryota; Fungi; Ascomycota; Sordariomycetes; Amphisphaeriales; Sporocadaceae.
AAGUCGUAACAAGGUCUCCGUUGGUGAACCAGCGGAGGGAUCAUUAUAGAGUUUUCUAAACUCCCAAACCCAUGUGAACUUACCAUUGUUGCCUCGGCAGAGCCUACCCGGUACCUACCCUGGAACUAGCUACCCUGUAGCUACCCAGGAACGGGCUACCCUGUAACGUCCUGCCGGUGGACUUCUAAACUCUUGUUAUUUAUAGUAAUCUGAGCGUCUUAUUUUAAUAAGUCAAAACUUUCAACAACGGAUCUCUUGGUUCUG